RNAcentral lists this ribosomal RNA (569 nucleotides) under uncultured archaeon. RNAcentral describes it as "bacterial SSU rRNA". It matches the Rfam family "Archaeal small subunit ribosomal RNA", at positions 326 to 900 of the family's 1478-position model. The record is from RNAcentral.
CGGGGUGCAGCAGGCGCGAAAACUUUACAAUGCCGGCAACGGCGAUAAGGGAACCUCGAGUGCCAGGUUACAAAUCUGGCUGUCGUGAUGCCUAAAAAGCAUUGCAUAGCAAGGGCCGGGCAAGACCGGUGCCAGCCGCCGCGGUAACACCGGCGGCUCGAGUGGUAACCGUUAUUAUUGGGUCUAAAGGGUCUGUAGCCGGCCGGGUAAGUCUCUUGGGAAAUCUGGCAGCUUAACUGUCAGGCUUUCAGGAGAUACUGCCUGGCUCGAGGCCGGGAGAGGUGAGAGGUACUUCAGGGGUAGGGGUGAAAUCUUGUAAUCCUUGAAGGACCACCAGUGGCGAAGGCGUCUCACCAGAACGGACCUGACGGCAAGGGACGAAAGCUAGGGGCACGAACCGGAUUAGAUACCCGGGUAGUCCUAGCCGUAAACGAUACUCGCUAGGUGUCGGCCACGGUGCGACCGUGGUCGGUGCCGUAGGGAAGCCGUGAAGCGAGCCACCUGGGAAGUACGGCCGCAAGGCUGAAACUUAAAGGAAUUGGCGGGGGAGCACAAGGGCGAAUUCGCGG